RNAcentral lists this ribosomal RNA (460 nucleotides) under uncultured bacterium. RNAcentral's name for it is "partial 16S ribosomal RNA". It matches the Rfam family "Bacterial small subunit ribosomal RNA", at positions 338 to 795 of the family's 1533-position model. The record is from RNAcentral.
CCUACGGGAGGCAGCAGUGAGGAAUAUUGGUCAAUGGGCGCGAGCCUGAACCAGCCAAGUCGCGUGAGGGAGGACGGCCCUACGGGUUGUAAACCUCUUUUGCCGGGGAGCAACGGUCGCCACGUGUGGCGUCACUGAGAGUACCCGGAGUAAAAGCAUCGGCUAACUCCGUGCCAGCAGCCGCGGUAAUACGGAGGAUGCGAGCGUUAUCCGGAUUUAUUGGGUGUAAAGGGUGCGUAGGCGGUUCGUUAAGUCAGUGGUCAAUUUAAGGGGCUCAACCCCUUCCCGCCAUUGAAACUGGCGAUCUUGAGUGGAAGAGAAGUAUGCGGAAUGCGUGGUGUAGCGGUGAAAUGCAUAGAUAUCACGCAGAACCCCGAUUGCGAAGGCAGCAUGCCGGCUUCCGACUGACGCUGAAGCACGAAAGCGUGGGGAGCGAACAGGAUUAGAUACCCGAGUAGUC